RNAcentral lists this signal recognition particle RNA (255 nucleotides) under human gut metagenome. RNAcentral describes it as "Bacterial large signal recognition particle RNA". It matches the Rfam family "Bacterial large signal recognition particle RNA". Rfam says of the family: The signal recognition particle (SRP) is a universally conserved ribonucleoprotein involved in the co-translational targeting of proteins to membranes. Archaeal SRP consists of a 7S RNA and homologues of the eukaryotic SRP19 and SRP54 proteins. The record is from RNAcentral.
AGCCGGGGAGUCAGCGGUGCCCUGUACCUGCAAUCCGCUACAGCAGGGGUGAUACGGAACAGAGGGUCUUUUCUUGCGGAGCUGCCCUCUAUAAGUGGCGUUGACGUCCGGGUCUUACGCAACAGAACUCUGUGAACCGUGUCAGGGCAGGAAUGCAGCAGCACUAAGCGGAACCUUCUGUGUGCCGUAAGGCAGCCUGGGCCGAGUUAACUGUAGAGGUAACGUCCGUGAGGAGGAUUCGACGGGAAGUGCGCG